CACCAAUGGCAUUCUAAGCCUUCUCUGUGCAUUUCAACUGGCAUCAUUGAUUUAUUAUGCUGUCUUUCUUCUUUAUCUCUGUUCUUUUUUCUUACCCUGACAUCUCGGUACUUCCAGGUUCCUCAUUUACUUCAGGUUGUCAAACGGAGGAGAAUAAAGAAAGCUCUCAGUCGUAAGAAUAUCUUUUAUCGGGACAGCUACAUGUGCCAGUAAGUGCUUUGCCACCUUUUUGAUGCCUGCAGUGGUGCUACUUAGUUCUGGUUGAAAACUGAUAUUAGAACUGUUCUACUUCUCCAAAGGAAUGAUCAACUGUUUUAUUCUCUGAAGCUAAAAUGUACCUGUAAUUACUGUUUUGUGUUUGACAACAGCAAGCACGAUGAAGUGAAUAAGCAAAAAUGAACUCUUAUAUCUCCACACAGAGUUCCCUUUUGGCCCCUCAACGGCCCUUUUCCCAUCCGUAUUGAGCUCAAAAAACAUGCGGAGUAUACUUUUGAAAUCACAUCUAUUGAGUCCUACUCAUGCACACCAAAAAAAGUAAGGAGAUGUCAUUUUUCCGAUCACUUUAAUUGAGGCAAAGAUGAUUAAUGGUUCUCAUUCUUUUGCUCACAAGGACCACCAAGACUUAAAAUUUUCCUCCUUUUGAUUGGAUUCUUAGCUUUCGGAUUAGCAUAAAUCACAGAUUCCAUAGUCAGAAAGCAGUUCUCUUGGUGGCUUCUAGGAGAAAUUUUGAGAUAUAGAGUGGCAUUUCGGGGGAAAGAAAUGCACAUCCGGGUUGCUUUCUCCACUACUAAAUGCUGCAAGGCCAUAAUAGAUGCUCAUUACGUGUUGCGAAUUCCUGCUACUCUACCAGAAACUUUGAAUGUACAUCCUCUGUUAUCUCAAACAACCAAGGAAACAUCUAUUAUGGAUGACUUUUGCCACUAAAAGCCAAGCCAAAUCAACUUUGAAGCCUAUUACAAAUUCAUCAACAAAGUUAUCAUGUUUUACAUUCACAAAGGUCUCCACCAUUAAGCACAAGUAACCGCCUCAUCAAACCUUAUUUCUCUUGUCCUUGUUUUAUCGUUUAUUCUCAGCAAUUUUUCUCCUUAGCUGCCCUUAUAUUGGAAAUCCGAGUAAGGUCUUGGUUUUGCUACUAUAAAUGGGACAGAUUUUAUGAAAGCUAAACAGAGACAGGAUGUGUCUUGAGCUCUCUUAGCUUUUCCUGUAAUCGUGACUUGGGAGAUCAUGAUUUAUAAUCCAUGUCCUAAUACCUUUUCCUAUAUUAACAGAUAUUGUUCUUCGGAUGAGAACUUGACUAUUGAUCAUGUUCUGCCGAUUGCCCGUGGUGGAGAAUGGACCUGGGAGAAUCUGGUAAGAUUGCGUAUAAUGUUGUCUAACUCCCGCUAUCACUUAAUUAUUUUUCUAUGCAGAUUAUAGUGUUUGUGCUAAUUCGGCUUCAAAAGAUUGCCCUUUUGUCCUUAUAAAAGGCCAUGACUGGUUAAGCAUAAAUUUUAGUUGGUCAAAAUAUUAAUGUACUCGGUCUAAUUCGUCACUUGAUUUCUGCUUAUUUUGAAUAGGAGCAAAGGAUGUGUAAAAAAGCUAUGUAUAAUAUGCCGAUAUAGAUCAUGCGCAGAUAUAAAGGACAAAUGGAUUUAGUAGGUAAAAUGUGGAUAACAUACUAGAAUUGUCUCAACUAGUCCGAAGAUGUUGGAAUUCCUUGGGAACAGGACUGACUAGAAUGAACCAAGUCUCAAAAGAUGGAUGGUGCUAGUCUAACGACUAUUAUUGCGUGAGCACCAGUUUAUGUGUAAUUUGGUUUUGCAACUUGAACUAUCUUGUAAUAUCUCAAAGCUUAGUGAAAGUAUUGCAAUAGAUGAGCUUAAUAAAUAUCAUCUGCUUUGUCAAAAAGAAAAUUUCAAGAUUUAAUUAAUGUUGUAAGUUAGAUUUAGUUUGCAAAACAACAUUUCAUUAUAUCUGAAGUGGCAACUCUUGAUUGAGGCUUCCCUUUUUCCUCAGUUCUCACUUCAGAUAGUGUGUACCCCCUCCCCCCCGCUACAUGUGCCAGUAAGUGCUUUGCCACCUUUUUGAUGCCUGCAGUGGUGCUACUUAGUUCUGGUUGAAAACUGAUAUUAGAACUGUUCUACUUCUCCAAAGGAAUGAUCAACUGUUUUAUUCUCUGAAGCUAAAAUGUACCUGUAAUUACUGUUUUCUUAUUAUAGUAGCUUCAUAGCUCCAGAACUGUGGUAAAGCUUCUUAAUUGAAAACAGUUUUAUUUAUGUUACCGUUUUCCUUGAUUUUUUUCCUGUUUUAUUUUACUUGUUUCUUGUUCUCCUUUUAUGUUUCUUCUCUGAGCUGGUUUGGGGUUGUGAAGUAUCAUAACCACAACAACAACUACCCAGUAUAGUCUUACAAAGUGGGGGUCUGGGGAGGGUAAUAUGUAGACGAGCUUUACCUCUACCCGAAAGGGCAGAGGCUGUUUCCAAUCGACCCUCGGCUCAGUGAAGGAAAGGAAAAACAAAAACAAAAACAAAAACAAAUGGCAGUACUCUUGUUUUACCAGAUAAAAGGCUGCUUAAUUGUGAUCUUGCAGGCCCCUAAAGAGUAUGAAAUUCUUGCUAUACCUUUGACCAGCUCGGCUAUAAAAAUGUUAAGAUCGAAAAAGGGGACACCGGAGGAGUGGCGGCAGUAUUUAUCAAUGCCGUCAGCAGCCCCUUAGUAUCAACGUAAGGAUGCAGCUUGUAAAUUCUCUUCCUUGUGCAGAAAUGACAGCAUUCGGAAAUUCAAUCUGAAAUACCAAGACUCAGUUGUAAUUCUAUGUACCUGUAAAUGUUUCUCUUCACCCCUAUGUGGUUGUAUAUAUGAUAAAUGCUCAAAGGCUCUAGUAAACCAUUGGAGUUUCUAGUAAUUGGUAGUAUGCAUAGGUGAUCUUACUCACUAUUAUCCUCCAUUGAAGCAAUGACAAAUAAAAGGAGAUCUCGAUUUGAUCCUUCAUAGUUGCAAAAUAUAGUUGAAGGUGCAUGUUGGUUUUUUACAAGAUGGGCAACAAAAAGAUUAAAAGUGUUGAUUGAAGAAGUCUCUCAAUAAUUUUAUUAAGCAUAACAAGG
This 3083-nucleotide long non-coding RNA is filed under the name Nicotiana benthamiana. RNAcentral's name for it is "long non-coding RNA (NBEN_LNC030155)". The record is from RNAcentral. Lineage: Eukaryota; Viridiplantae; Streptophyta; Magnoliopsida; Solanales; Solanaceae.